Long non-coding RNA from Eurytemora carolleeae, 119 nucleotides. RefSeq lists it as uncharacterized. The record is from RefSeq and is a predicted model, not a curated record. The transcript has 3 exons. Lineage: Eukaryota; Metazoa; Arthropoda; Copepoda; Calanoida; Temoridae.
ACACCAACAGCUGAUUAUUUUGCUGCUCCUUUAGAGGAAAACUUGUUUGAAUGGCAUUUCACAGUAAGAGGUCCUGAAGGUUCAGAUUUUCAGGAUGGAGUUUAUCAUGGAAGAAUUAU